GCUAUCCAAACCGUUUAUAAGGUCAUUCUCGAUAGGAUGAAGUGAAAACAUCAGAAAGAUUGCCUGUACGAAACUUUUAUGGUCAUAACAAUGCUUCAACGGUUCUCAUAGAAUUUCCACUGUUUCCUCUCGUGUGGCGCAGUUGAGUGUUGGAUACACUUCGUUUUUUGUCUCACGUACUAAAAUGAGCUUGCAAAACGUAUGGACGGGGUGGAUUUCUCGUAAACAUUUCGAAUGUAAAAAAACAAAAAGAUGUCUCUGAUUUUUAUCUUCUCCCUAGUACUGCUGUACUCUCUCUCCACCAAAUUUGUAAUCCCGUCAACUCGUCUCCAUUUUCUUCGUUUCGUAUUCCCACGAGCAAUGGGCAAAUUCCCUCUUUCCACCCUCAAAAUCCAAUUCCAUUUAAUCCGAUUUCUUCAAUUCGAUUCUUCAGGGAAAAAAGACCUAGAAAGCGCGAUCGAUUUUAAUUCCAAGGCUGGGGAUCUUAGCAGAGGAUGAAACCAUGUUUACGAGGAUCUUCGGCAAACCUAUGCAGGAAACCAAUCCCCUGACAACUCUCGAUAAGCUUACUGAGGAAUGUUAUCUAUCACCCUGAGUAUGGCCAUUCUAUGUCAAACCUUAUCAUUCAGAACAUCCUGGUUGACAGUACCUUGGAUCCAGGCCAACCAGCUUUUAGACCAUAAUAGCCUUGUCACAUCUAUUUGGAGAUAGCUCAGUUCUCAUGGCUAAAGUUGAACAAUGACUCUGUUUGACAUCAACCCUCCUUUACCCAGGUUGGGGACAGCAAGAUACUCUUAUGAAGGCCUCUCUAAACUAGCCCUUUGCAUUGCAGAUACUGUAUAUUUGUUUCAAAAUAUCUUUUUAAACAGUAGUUUCUCUUCUUCUCUUCUCCAUUUCCUUCUGCUCUUGAUUUGCUGCCAUGUCUUUCUGAAUGGUAAGAUUCUUCCGAUCCUUAAUUUGCUAGAUAUUUCCUUGUUGAGAAAUUGUGAUUCUUUUAUAUCUGACUUCUUUUAGUAUCUGUAGUAGUUUUAUUUAUUUAUUAAUUUAUGAAUUUCAUGUUUUCUGUAGUUGAAAUAUAAUUCGUGUUUAUUUUUUUUGAUGUCCUCCAUUUAUAAGGUAAAUCAAAUAGAAUGUUUGGAUCAUGUAGAAAGACCCCUGAUUUGAUUGGCUAAUUGCAAUCAAAUCAGUUUCUUCAUGAAAACUGGUUAGAUGCUUGUUGCCUUUGUUUCGUUAAUGUUCUUGUUGGACUUUUCCUUGUAUACUUGUGUUGUCCAUGAAAACUGCUGAGGAUUGCAUCUUUGCAACAUCUGAAAGGAUUGCUUGGGAUAGUUCAUUUCGCUACUAAGAUGGGAUUCUUGCCUGUAAUUCUUUCUAUUUUUAAAGCACAAACCUGAGGUAGGAAACCACAUGCCUUUUUUCCCUUUUAUGUUACACAAAUGAGAAAUUAUACAAAUUCUAAUUAGUUAGCAAGGGAGAAUCAACAGAAUGUUUUGAAGCUCCAUGCCCAUUUCCAUCUUUAUAUUGCUAACAGAAUUUGUCCUUUACCUUCACUAUGGUUUUAUUCAGGAUGAUGGUUUUCAUCUUUUCUUUUCCUUUUCAGACUAUUCAACGUCUAUGUUCAUAGCUUUCUUAGCUCCAAGAUACAUGUUGCAAGGUACCCAUAUGGAUUUGGCAACUGUGGUCCCAGAUCUUGAACCAACAGAACUAUUAUAAAUGGAAAACGGUGAGAGAGGAUAUGAUAUCUCUUCUGUGUUCAAGUUUGUUCUGUUUGUUGGACCACUCUCUCUGAAAUAUUAACCCAAUUUCCACUUUCCAUUGCAGCUGACAUGAACGAAGUCAGGUUGAAAGUUGUUUUAUGUGGCGGGUUUUGAUAGGAUAUGGUGCCACUGGCUACAAUUCCUCGGAGUACAUCCUUAUUUGGAUAUAAGCUUUUCAUGUUCUUUUUACAAUCAUAUAGAAGCUAUGGUCUUAUAAUCAUGCUUGAUUGAUAAUUCUGAAGUAUGACUUAGUUUCACACGAGCUAGUACUGAGAUUUCAAGUGUGUUUGAAGCCAAUGUUGACUAUAAUCUUCACUUGAAUAUUAACCCAAUGUUCACUUUCCAUUGCAA
Magnolia sinica is the source of this 2108-nucleotide RNA transcript. RefSeq lists it as uncharacterized. The transcript has 6 exons. NCBI's taxonomy places the organism in Eukaryota, Viridiplantae, Streptophyta, Magnoliopsida, Magnoliales, Magnoliaceae. The record is from RefSeq and is a predicted model, not a curated record.